UACGGGGGGAGCAAGCGUUGUUCGGAUUUACUGGGCGUAAAGGGCGCGUAGGCGGCGCGACAAGUCACUUGUGAAAUCUCCGGGCUUAACUCGGAGCGGCCAAGUGAUACUGUCGUGCUAGAGUGCGGAAGGGGCAACUGGAAUUCUCGGUGUAGCGGUGAAAUGCGUAGAUAUCGAGAGGAACACCGGUGGCGAAGGCGGCGAUCUGGACGAUGACUGACGCUGAGACGCGAAAGCGUGGGGAGCAAACAGG
This 253-nucleotide ribosomal RNA is filed under the name uncultured bacterium. RNAcentral's name for it is "partial 16S ribosomal RNA". It matches the Rfam family "Bacterial small subunit ribosomal RNA", at positions 524 to 776 of the family's 1533-position model. The record is from RNAcentral.